Molecule: long non-coding RNA, 568 nt
Organism: Crotalus tigris (Tiger rattlesnake)
Lineage: Eukaryota; Metazoa; Chordata; Lepidosauria; Squamata; Viperidae
Exons: 3
Source: RefSeq, a predicted model, not a curated record
AUUCAAGGUCAAUAAAAUGUUCAUCAUAAGCCUGAACAGAAAAGGGGAGGAUGGGCUAAAGAGAAAACUGCACUGCAUAAAAGCAAGAAUGUAACCUAAACAAGUGGGCAGAUCAUUGCUGGGGUUAUUUCUUUACUUUGAACAUCUGUCCCUUCGCGAUCUUCUGGUGUUGAAUGGAACAUUUCUAUCGGUUUUGGUGCUGGAAUUGGUAGGUUUGCACAAGUUGAAUGUGGCUUCAUCGAAUUUAUCUUCAAUCUUAAGAUACGAUGAUUGCAGCAUCUCUGCACAAAAGCCCUGGUCCUGAGAACUAAAGAUGACCUUGGAGCAGGUUCCUAGAUGCUACACUGACAAAAACAAAUGGAGGCAGGAGAAACGACUGAAUGGGGCUAAACUAUGAAUUUAGCACAAUUAACUCAGUUAAUUCAAUGCCAUGGAUAUGAUCACUCCCUGUUUCACAUUAAGGUUCCAUUUGUCAGUAAUGUCUGCUGGAGAAUUAAGAAAUAGAAUAGAAUAGAGCUGGAAGGGACCUUGGAGGUCUUCUAGUCCAGCCCCCUGCUCAAGCAGGAGA